RNAcentral lists this unclassified non-coding RNA (428 nucleotides) under Zea mays. Its description in RNAcentral is "misc RNA Zm00001eb276180". Lineage: Eukaryota; Viridiplantae; Streptophyta; Magnoliopsida; Poales; Poaceae. The record is from RNAcentral.
UGGUCAUGGAUGCAGCAAUGGCGAGGUUCGAGGGUAAAAUGGGGCAUCCAUUUAAGCGCCAUCAUUGGUGGCAAGUUGUUCGCCACGAGCCCAAGUGGUCAGCAAAGCAUGGUCUUGGUAGUGGAUCUGAUUCGACUGCGAAUAAGAGAACCCGACUCGGAGUCUCUGGUGAAUAUAGUUCUGGAGGCACUGAAGACACCGAGGAGGAAGUGCCUCGACCAGUGGGGCGUGAUAGGGCAAAGGCGGCUGCGCGAAAGACAAAGACGAAGGGGAAAGGGAAGGAAGCCACGAGCAGCGAAUCAACAAGUGAAGCAUUCAAAAUGAAGAACUUGUGGGGUGGAUUAGUGAAGGCCAAGCUUUUGAAGCAAUGGAACAUCCUAAAGGGCCGAUCAACCAGAGAUAUGGACCCGGCUGAAAGACGUACCCAU